This 376-nucleotide ribosomal RNA is filed under the name uncultured bacterium. RNAcentral describes it as "bacterial SSU rRNA". It matches the Rfam family "Bacterial small subunit ribosomal RNA", at positions 527 to 896 of the family's 1533-position model. The record is from RNAcentral.
AGAGACCUCAAGCGUUAUCCGGAAUCAUUGGGCGUAGAGCGUGCCGAUAGGUGGUUUUGUUAGUGUCUGGUUAAAUGCCGAGGCUCAACUUCGGCACCGCCAGGCAUACUGCAAGACUAGAGGAACAAAGAGGAAGCUGGAACGAACGGUGUAGCAGUGAAAUGCGUUGAUAUCGUUCGGAACACCGAUAGCGAAGGCAGGCUUCUGGGUGUUUCCUGACACUUCUAGGACGAAAGCGUGGGUAGCGAAUGGGAUUAGAUACCCCAGUAGUCCACGCUGUAAACGAUGAUGACUAGGCACGAGGGAGUAUCGACCCUCUUUCGCGCCGAAGCUAACGCGUUAAGUCAUCCGCCUGGGGAGUACGGUCGCAAGACUA